This 220-nucleotide unclassified non-coding RNA is filed under the name Hevea brasiliensis (rubber tree). The record is from RNAcentral. Lineage: Eukaryota; Viridiplantae; Streptophyta; Magnoliopsida; Malpighiales; Euphorbiaceae.
UUUAAGUUCAAAAUAUAUACAUUGUUGGUUCAUUUAUUGAUAGACCAAGUUUUCAUAAACUAAAUUGGUAAUAAUAUAAUUCUCAAAAGAUUUUCUUCGUUCCAAUUUUGGUAACUCUCCUUUGUGGUAAAAUCAAUGUGAAUAUCUUGAACAACUGGACCUACAUGUAAGUAGGGAUUUUCCCUCAUUUCUUUUUCUUCUUCUUCUUCAAAAAGUUUCG